CGGACGGGUGAGUAACGCGUGGGUAACCUACCCUGUACACACAGAUAACAUACCGAAAGGUAAUGCUAAUACGGGAUAAUAUAUUUGAGAGGCAUCUCUUGAAUAUCAAAGGUGAGCCAGUACAGGAUGGACCCGCGUCUGAUUAGCUAGUUGGUAAGGUAACGGCUUACCAAGGCGACGAUCAGUAGCCGACCUGAGAGGGUGAUCGGCCACAUUGGAACUGAGACACGGUCCAA
This 236-nucleotide ribosomal RNA is filed under the name uncultured bacterium. RNAcentral describes it as "partial 16S ribosomal RNA". It matches the Rfam family "Bacterial small subunit ribosomal RNA", at positions 99 to 334 of the family's 1533-position model. The record is from RNAcentral.